AGUCUCCAGCACCGCGCUUGUCCCCUUCGCGACAGUCAGGGGAAGGCGCGGGCGGGAAGCUGCCCCCCUUCACGUUCUUGUCAGCUCAGCCGAGCCACCUCCCCGCGGGGCAGCCCCCCCAGUCCCCAUCCCCCCGGUGUUGGCGGGACCGGGAGAGGCGGCGGCGCCGUGUCCCGGUGGCGAAUCUGCGGCGCAGAGCGGGGAGGGGGGGAGGGCGGCGCCUCACGGCCGCAGGUUUGGCGCCUUUUUCCCCUCAGAGGGAGCGCGCGGCGCCCUGAGGCGCCCGGGCUGCACAGGCGGCGGCUGGAGAGACGCUGUGGUGUAAUGUGCGACUAACCCCAUAAAGACAGGCGCUAAGGUCAGGUGAACGGCCCUGUGGGGAGCCCUGCGUCUGUGUAAGGGGUGAGGUGAGGUGCUGAAAUAGUGGUUUGGGAAUGGCAUCCCUUCAGAAAAGGUUGAGCAGGAUGUGGCCCUCCGUCUGGUCGUGCUUGCCGUGCCAUGAGGAAAGGUGGGAGGAUGCCAGUGCGUCGAUGAAAGGUGUGAACAGAAGGCGGCCUAGGGGAAGCCUGUGCAGUGGUGUGAAGGAAUGCUGGUCAUAUGGGCUAUGGGAGAGAUCCUAGUUUAUAAAUCUGUGUAGUUUAUAAUUUUGAACUAAGUCAGACUUGAGACAGCUAGCUGCUGAGUACAGGGGAUUGUGAAUUACAGAAUAGACUGGAAGCAGUGGAAUUAUCCAGAACAAUUUCUUGCAGAAAUUUCUGAAGGUAUCAUACACAGAGGUAAAAAGCUUGCAAAUACAAACUACAUUACACCAUAUGGCUCUGAUUGUGUGAGGAAGAUGAAGAAUUUCAGAUCCCAGCAUUCAGCACAGGAGUGUUUUUUGGUUUUUUUUUUUUUUUUUUUUUACAGUGAAAAUUGUUAAUGUGACUGAAUUAAAUAUGAAAACUUAAAGUUUGGCAUUGAAAUUCUGUCACACAGCUAAUAGGGCUGAUUUCGAGACAUCCAUAAAGGAGGAUUUUGGUGGAGCUGGUGAAUGUGGCAGCUGAAGGAAAGCCAAACAGAUGAUACCAACCAAACCUAAAAAUACAGCAGAAGGUGAAAAGGAAAACUGAAUAUGAUACCGGGUUGCUGCAAGUCAGGCCCAUUUCUUCUUGAUGCCUACGUUUUGGGCCUUUUUGCUUUCGUUCUUAAAUCAACCAUAUUUUUAGGAACAAGUAUAGAGACAAGAACACUGCUCUCAUCUGCCUAUAGUGUGCUGUCUGUGGCCACAAUGGAAGCCUGUUGACAUGCAGCAGAAUAACCUAUGACUUCCGUAUGAUAAUUAAAGUAAGAAUUGAAAAGAUUCCUCAGUCAACCAGCCAAAUAUGUCUCUUUAGUCUACCAGUUCCACCUGUGCAGAAUAUUUGUAAAGAGAAGGUGUAAAGGAAACACCUGGGUACGAGAUCCCUGUAGGCUAAAGGCAGAGCUUCAUGUUUUCAGCACCUCCUGGAACCACAGCCGUGAAAUCAGGCAUGGAGAAGACCUUCUGAUCAUUCUCCAUCUUUUGCUACUUCAAGAUUUUGCAGCUAAUACCCCUUGUAUUUUAAAUGGCUUAGAUGUUCCAUCCCUGCUUUAACCAUUUCUCCCCUUAUACCAGUUACAUUUCUAACAUUUGGCUUCGUUCCAAAACUACUGACUUCUCUAGUUCCCUGCAUGCUUUGCACUGGGCAUUGUUUUUCCCUUUCCCCCUCCAUUUCCUCUUUCUGCAUGCCCUGAUACAACUUUUCGUAAUGUCCUCUUCAUUCUAAUCACUUGUGAAACUACUACCACCUUGGUAAGUUACUGGAUAAGAACAAAUGUCAAAGUGGACCUAAAACGUGAAAAAAAUAGUAAAAAUGUCUCCAGAUUUCCAAAUAAGGAAGG
Molecule: long non-coding RNA, 1899 nt
Organism: Falco peregrinus (peregrine falcon)
Lineage: Eukaryota; Metazoa; Chordata; Aves; Falconiformes; Falconidae
Exons: 3
Source: RefSeq, a predicted model, not a curated record